This 519-nucleotide ribosomal RNA is filed under the name uncultured Flavobacterium sp. RNAcentral's name for it is "bacterial SSU rRNA". It matches the Rfam family "Bacterial small subunit ribosomal RNA", at positions 382 to 902 of the family's 1533-position model. Lineage: Bacteria; Pseudomonadati; Bacteroidota; Flavobacteriia; Flavobacteriales; Flavobacteriaceae. The record is from RNAcentral.
CCUGAAUCAGCCAUGCCGCGUGCAGGAUGACGGUCCUAUGGGAUUGUAAACUGCUUUUAUACGAGAAGAAACACUCCUACGUGUAGGAGCUUGACGGUAUCGUAAGAAUAAGGAUCGGCUAACUCCGUGCCAGCAGCCGCGGUAAUACGGAGGAUCCAAGCGUUAUCCGGAAUCAUUGGGUUUAAAGGGUCCGUAGGCGGUUUAAUAAGUCAGUGGUGAAAGCCCAUCGCUCAACGGUGGAACGGCCAUUGAUACUGUUAAACUUGAAUUAUUAGGAAGUAACUAGAAUAUGUAGUGUAGCGGUGAAAUGCUUAGAGAUUACAUGGAAUACCAAUUGCGAAGGCAGGUUACUACUAAUGGAUUGACGCUGAUGGACGAAAGCGUGGGUAGCGAACAGGAUUAGAUACCCUGGUAGUCCACGCCGUAAACGAUGGAUACUAGCUGUUGGAAGCAAUUUCAGUGGCUAAGCGAAAGUGAUAAGUAUCCCACCUGGGGAGUACGUUCGCAAGAAUGAAACUC